Molecule: unclassified non-coding RNA, 337 nt
Filed under: soil metagenome
Description: partial contains 5.8S ribosomal RNA, internal transcribed spacer 2, and large subunit ribosomal RNA
Rfam family: 5.8S ribosomal RNA (bases 1-120)
Source: RNAcentral
GAUGAAGAACGUAGCGAAAUGCGAUAAGUAAUGUGAAUUGCAGAAUUCAGUGAAUCAUCGAAUCUUUGAACGCACAUUGCGCCCUUUGGUAUUCCGAGGGGCAUGCCUGUUCGAGCGUCAUUACACCACUCAAGCUAUGCUUGGUAUUGGGCGUCGUCCUUAGUUGGGCGCGCCUUAAAGACCUCGGCGAGGCCACUCCGGCUUUAGGCGUAGUAGAAUUUAUUCGAACGUCUGUCAAAGGAGAGGAACUCUGCCGACUGAAACCUUUAUUUUUCUAGGUUGACCUCGGAUCAGGUAGGGAUACCCGCUGAACUUAAGCAUAUCAAUAAGCGGAGGA